UCCCGUUCCGGAUUUGCAGCGUGGCUCCCCGCCCCAGCUGGGCUCGGGCUGGCCCCGCGGCGCCUGCCAGCGGAAGGGAAGGGAGGCGCCCCUGGGCCAGAGCGCGGCGCCAUGGAGGCGCUGCUGGCCCCGGCCCACUGGAGCACGCUGCUCGUGUGCACGGUGAUCAAGCUGCCGCAGGUGGUGGCUGUGCUGGCGGCCCGCUCCGCGCGCGGCGUCAGCCUGGAGAGCCUGGUGCUGGAGCUGAGCGGCUUCCUUGUGUUUCUAAGGUACCAGAGUUACUACAGUUACCCCCUAGAGACUUACCUGGAAUACCCCAUCCUAAUUGCACAAGAUGUCAUUCUCCUGCUCUUUGUUCUGCAUUACAGUGGCAACAUGAAACAAGCUUUGCCUUACGUAGUCAUGUAUCCUUUGACGUCUACUCAUUUUCAUUUACACAGCACUUCUGGCAGCUCUUUGACAGAAGACUGAGCAUUUUAUCUCCUAGUGCCAGAGAAAACCAUAUUCAGCCACCUUUUAAUGUGCAUUUCGUAUUUGCAUGCAACCUUCUUAGAUCCCAGUAAAACCCUUUAUACAGCAAACCCUAUAUCAGUAACUGAUUUUACUGGACCCACAACUGAGGAGGAAUGAGACUAAUUCAUAAUUUACAUUUGUAUCAGAUAUGCACAAUGGAAAAUAUGAAGCUUCUUGUAACUCUUUUACACAAUUACGUCAACUGUGGAUCAUACACACAGUGACUUUUAGAUGCUCCUUUGAAAAGAUAUACAGCUUUGGGUUUCCAUUUGGCACUGGACGCUUUGGAGCGGGGCUUGAUAAAUUUAUCAGACACCAACCAGAGAUAAUGUGAAAAAUGCGGGUGAGGGAACCACCAGCAACAUCUGGGGUAGUGACUGCUGAAAAAGUGACCACCUUGCCAUUCCUGCUGCUGCUGAAGGGGAGAGGGCUGGGAUUUACACCAGCAUACUGUCUUUCGGCUCUGUUUUGGGGCUCCAUCUUUCUUAACAGCUUCAACCUGCAGAAUUUGUGUACGUUAAUCAGUGCAGCAAGUAAAUUUGCUCAGCUGCGGUAUCUGUGGCAGACAAGAGAUUCCGGACAAGUGAGCGCCCUGACCUGGAGUAUGUCCGCAUACACAUGUGCAACAAGAAUAGUUAC
Molecule: RNA transcript, 1152 nt
Organism: Chelonia mydas (Green sea turtle)
Lineage: Eukaryota; Metazoa; Chordata; Testudines; Cheloniidae
Gene: SLC66A3
Gene name: solute carrier family 66 member 3
Exons: 5
Source: RefSeq, a predicted model, not a curated record